Molecule: ribosomal RNA, 2226 nt
Filed under: Salmonella enterica subsp. enterica serovar Enteritidis
Lineage: Bacteria; Pseudomonadati; Pseudomonadota; Gammaproteobacteria; Enterobacterales; Enterobacteriaceae
Description: partial 23S ribosomal RNA
Rfam family: Bacterial large subunit ribosomal RNA
Source: RNAcentral
GGGAGCCGGAGGGAAACCGAGUCUUAACCGGGCGUUAAGUUGCAGGGUAUAGACCCGAAACCCGGUGAUCUAGCCAUGGGCAGGUUGAAGGUUGGGUAACACUAACUGGAGGACCGAACCGACUAAUGUUGAAAAAUUAGCGGAUGACCUGUGGCUGGGGGUGAAAGGCCAAUCAAACCGGGAGAUAGCUGGUUCUCCCCGAAAGCUAUUUAGGUAGCGCCUCGUGAAUUCAUCUCCGGGGGUAGAGCACUGUUUCGGCUAGGGGGCCAUCCCGGCUUACCAACCCGAUGCAAACUGCGAAUACCGGAGAAUGUUAUCACGGGAGACACACGGCGGGUGCUAACGUCCGUCGUGAAGAGGGAAACAACCCAGACCGCCAGCUAAGGUCCCAAAGUCAUGGUUAAGUGGGAAACGAUGUGGGAAGGCCCAGACAGCCAGGAUGUUGGCUUAGAAGCAGCCAUCAUUUAAAGAAAGCGUAAUAGCUCACUGGUCGAGUCGGCCUGCGCGGAAGAUGUAACGGGGCUAAACCAUGCACCGAAGCUGCGGCAGCGACACUGUGUGUUGUUGGGUAGGGGAGCGUUCUGUAAGCCUGUGAAGGUGUGUCGUGAGGCAUGCUGGAGGUAUCAGAAGUGCGAAUGCUGACAUAAGUAACGAUAAAGCGGGUGAAAAGCCCGCUCGCCGGAAGACCAAGGGUUCCUGUCCAACGUUAAUCGGGGCAGGGUGAGUCGACCCCUAAGGCGAGGCCGAAAGGCGUAGUCGAUGGGAAACGGGUUAAUAUUCCCGUACUUGGUGUUACUGCGAAGGGGGGACGGAGAAGGCUAUGUUGGCCGGGCGACGGUUGUCCCGGUUUAAGCGUGUAGGUGUGUGUUCCAGGUAAAUCCGGUUCACUUUAACACUGAGGCGUGACGACGAGGCACUACGGUGCUGAAGCAACAAAUGCCCUGCUUCCAGGAAAAGCCUCUAAGCAUCAGGUAACAUCAAAUCGUACCCCAAACCGACACAGGUGGUCAGGUAGAGAAUACCAAGGCGCUUGAGAGAACUCGGGUGAAGGAACUAGGCAAAAUGGUGCCGUAACUUCGGGAGAAGGCACGCUGACACGUAGGUGAAGUGAUUUACUCAUGGAGCUGAAGUCAGUCGAAGAUACCAGCUGGCUGCAACUGUUUAUUAAAAACACAGCACUGUGCAAACACGAAAGUGGACGUAUACGGUGUGACGCCUGCCCGGUGCCGGAAGGUUAAUUGAUGGGGUCAGCGCAAGCGAAGCUCCUGAUCGAAGCCCCGGUAAACGGCGGCCGUAACUAUAACGGUCCUAAGGUAGCGAAAUUCCUUGUCGGGUAAGUUCCGACCUGCACGAAUGGCGUAAUGAUGGCCAGGCUGUCUCCACCCGAGACUCAGUGAAAUUGAACUCGCUGUGAAGAUGCAGUGUACCCGCGGCAAGACGGAAAGACCCCGUGAACCUUUACUAUAGCUUGACACUGAACAUUGAGCCUUGAUGUGUAGGAUAGGUGGGAGGCUUUGAAGUGUGGACGCCAGUCUGCAUGGAGCCGACCUUGAAAUACCACCCUUUAAUGUUUGAUGUUCUAACGUGGACCCGUUACCCGGGUUGCGGACAGUGUCUGGUGGGUAGUUUGACUGGGGCGGUCUCCUCCUAAAGAGUAACGGAGGAGCACGAAGGUUGGCUAAUCCUGGUCGGACAUCAGGAGGUUAGUGCAAUGGCAUAAGCCAGCUUGACUGCGAGCGUGACGGCGCGAGCAGGUGCGAAAGCAGGUCAUAGUGAUCCGGUGGUUCUGAAUGGAAGGGCCAUCGCUCAACGGAUAAAAGGUACUCCGGGGAUAACAGGCUGAUACCGCCCAAGAGUUCAUAUCGACGGCGGUGUUUGGCACCUCGAUGUCGGCUCAUCACAUCCUGGGGCUGAAGUAGGUCCCAAGGGUAUGGCUGUUCGCCAUUUAAAGUGGUACGCGAGCUGGGUUUAGAACGUCGUGAGACAGUUCGGUCCCUAUCUGCCGUGGGCGCUGGAGAACUGAGGGGGGCUGCUCCUAGUACGAGAGGACCGGAGUGGACGCAUCACUGGUGUUCGGGUUGUCAUGCCAAUGGCACUGCCCGGUAGCUAAAUGCGGAAGAGAUAAGUGCUGAAAGCAUCUAAGCACGAAACUUGCCCCGAGAUGAGUUCUCCCUGAGACUUAAAGUCUCCUGAAGGAACGUUGAAGACGACGACGUUGAUAGGCCG